AAACUAACAAGGAUUCCCUUAGUAACGGCGAGUGAACCGGGAAAAGCUCAAAUUUGUAAUCUGGCUGUCUUCGAUAGUCCGAGUUGUAAUCUAUAGACGUGUUUUCCGUGCUGGACCGUAUCUAAGUCCCUUGGAACAGGGUAUCAAAGAGGGUGACAAUCCCGUGCUUGAUACGACCACCAGUGCUCUGUGAUACACGCUCUACGAGUCGAGUUGUUUGGGAAUGCAGCUCAAAAUGGGUGGUAAAUUCCAUCUAAAGCUAAAUAUUGGCGAGAGACCGAUAGCGAACAAGUACCGUGAGGGAAAGAUGAAAAGCACUUUGGAAAGAGAGUUAAACAGUACGUGAAAUUGUUGAAAGGGAAACGAUUGAAGUCAGUCGUGUUCUUUGGAUUCAGCUAGUUCUUCUAGUCUACUUCCUUUGAACGGGUCAACAUCAGUUUUGUCCGGUGGAUAAAGAUAGUAGGAAUGUAGCUCCCUCGGGAGUGUUAUAGACUAUUAUUGCAUGCACUGGGUGAGACUGAGGACUGCAGCUCGCCUUUUGGCCGGCCUUCGGGUACGUUCGAGCUUAGGAUGUUGACAUAAUGGUUUAACAGU
Molecule: ribosomal RNA, 594 nt
Filed under: Cutaneotrichosporon moniliiforme
Lineage: Eukaryota; Fungi; Basidiomycota; Tremellomycetes; Trichosporonales; Trichosporonaceae
Description: LSU rRNA
Rfam family: Eukaryotic large subunit ribosomal RNA
Source: RNAcentral